This 19-nucleotide ribosomal RNA is filed under the name Cladosporium cladosporioides. Its description in RNAcentral is "partial 18S ribosomal RNA". Lineage: Eukaryota; Fungi; Ascomycota; Dothideomycetes; Cladosporiales; Cladosporiaceae. The record is from RNAcentral. RNAcentral also lists the same sequence under 1 other name.
UGCGGAGGGACAUUACAAG